Non-coding RNA from Odocoileus virginianus texanus, 1535 nucleotides. The record is from RefSeq and is a predicted model, not a curated record. NCBI's taxonomy places the organism in Eukaryota, Metazoa, Chordata, Mammalia, Artiodactyla, Cervidae.
AAGAGUCUGGGAUUAAUUAGGGAUCAACUGGGUAUUAGGCGGAAAGCAGGUGGCUCUUGGAAUGAGAGGUGGGGAGGGGGCCUCUGGCGCGGGAAGAGUCCGGGGGAAAUCCCAGGAUCUCCGGGGGGUUCGACUAGGGACUCAGUGAGACCCAAACAUCUGGGGAAUCACGCGGGAUCGGGUGGGUCCGGGGUCGCGAGGGUUCCGGCUCACCGGUAUCAUGCAGGAAGAGUACCAACGUGAUCCCCCAGGUCAGCACUGUAUGCCCGGUCCGCACCAGGACCCCAGGGGUGAAGAGCGCCCAGGGCGCCAUCGCCUCGGCCCCGGGCCCCACCCGGAAGAAGCGCUCAGAGGGGCGGGCCCUCCGAGGAACAGGGCCCGCGGCCGCCCGGGGAUUGGCGGAUGCGGGCUGUGGGCGUGGCCGGAUUGGGCCAGGGAGGCCGCCUAUUGGGCGACAGCUGCGGUUUAGUAGGCCCUCGAGCCAACAGGUGCCUGAAGAAGCUGAGGGCGGGGCCGGCGCGCGCGCAGCCGGUAACUCCCCCAGCUCCACCCCCCACUCCCCCAACCCCAGCAUCCAGGUAACUUUCAAAAACCGACCUCCCGUCGCGAGUCCCGCUCCAGUCCCGCUGAAGUUCCACCACCCGCCCCCAGGCCACAGAUUCACGCAUGCGUCCAGGAAGAUCCAGGUGUUGUGACUCAAGGUGGCAGAAUUGCGCCCGGUUCGGAGAUGAGAUGCUCGAAGCCUCAAGAGAGGCAGGACUAAACCAAAGUGACUUCAGGGUAAUAACAUUACCAUUUUCAGAUUUUGCAGACGGGAUGAGACCAGAGUGGAAACAGUUGCAGGCAGGGACCCUGUUGCUCUGUGGCCAGCCAGAUCCUCAGUGUCUGGGCACAGGGGUGUGGAGAGACUGCAGAGGAAAAGCAGGUGUUCCAGUCCCAUCUGCCACUGCUGAAGAAUGGAUGCUUUUGGACUGCGGUUGGGAGGACUCUUGAGAGCCCCUCAGACUGCAAGGAGAUCAAACCAGUCCAUCCUAAAGGAAAUCGGUCCUGAAUAUUCAUUGGAAGGACUAAUGCUGAAGCUGAAACUCCAAUACUUUGGCUGCCUCAUGCAAAGAACUGACUCAUUGGAAAAGACCCUGAUGCUGGGAAAGAUUGAAGGUGGGAGGAGAAGGGCACGACAGAGGAUGAGAUGGUUGGAUGACAUCACCAACUCAAUGGACAUGAGUUUGAGUAAACUCCGGGUGUUGGUGAUGGACAGGGAGGCCUGGCAUGCUGCAGUCCACGGGGUUGCAAAGAGUCAGACAUGACUGAGCAACUCAACAGACCAAACUGCCACCUCUCCCCUUGGGCCGGGCCCACAGACUGACCCAAUGCACCCUCCCGUCACUGCUCUUGCACUCCAGGCACACCACCCAAGCCAGCCCAGGCCCCCUCUCCAUGGCCCCAUCCCUUCCACAAAAAAAAAGACACUCUGCUCUUUUCCACUUUGCACAAAAAUGUAUUUCUGUGACAUCCCAAAGUACAGACAUUUACCC